RNAcentral lists this ribosomal RNA (429 nucleotides) under Bacteroidota bacterium. RNAcentral describes it as "Bacteroidetes bacterium partial 16S ribosomal RNA". It matches the Rfam family "Bacterial small subunit ribosomal RNA", at positions 355 to 776 of the family's 1533-position model. The record is from RNAcentral. Lineage: Bacteria; Pseudomonadati; Bacteroidota.
UAGGGAAUCUUCGGCAAUGGGGGGAACCCUGACCGAGCAACGCCGCGUGAGUGAAGAAGGUUUUCGGAUCGUAAAGCUCUGUUGUUAAGGAAGAACGAGUGUGAGAAUGGAAAGUUCAUACUGUGACGGUACUUAACCAGAAAGGGACGGCUAACUACGUGCCAGCAGCCGCGGUAAUACGUAGGUCCCGAGCGUUGUCCGGAUUUAUUGGGCGUAAAGCGAGCGCAGGCGGUUAGAUAAGUCUGAAGUUAAAGGCAGUGGCUCAACCAUUGUAGGCUUUGGAAACUGUUUAACUUGAGUGCAGAAGGGGAGAGGGGAAUUCCAGGUGUAGCGGUGAAAUGCGUAGAUAUAUGGAGGAACACCGGUGGCGAAAGCGGCUCUCUGGUCUGUAACUGACGCUGAGGCUCGAAAGCGUGGGGAGCGAACAGG